GCCGGGCAUGGUGGCUCAUGCCUGUAAUCCCAGCACUUUAGGAGGCUGAGGUGGGUGGAUCACCUGAGGUCGGGAGUUUGAGACCAGCCUGGCCAACAUGGCGAAACCCCAUCUCUA
Molecule: non-coding RNA, 117 nt
Filed under: Nomascus leucogenys (northern white-cheeked gibbon)
Lineage: Eukaryota; Metazoa; Chordata; Mammalia; Primates; Hylobatidae
Source: Rfam by way of RNAcentral